AUUGGGGGGGGCCUACACAUGCAGUCGAGCGGUAGCACAGAGAGCUUGCUCUCGGGUGACGAGCGGCGGACGGGUGAGUAAUGUCUGGGAAACUGCCUGAUGGAGGGGGAUAACUACUGGAAACGGUAGCUAAUACCGCAUAACGUCGCAAGACCAAAGUGGGGGACCUUCGGGCCUCAUGCCAUCAGAUGUGCCCAGAUGGGAUUAGCUGGUAGGUGGGGUAACGGCUCACCUAGGCGACGAUCCCUAGCUGGUCUGAGAGGAUGACCAGCCACACUGGAACUGAGACACGGUCCAGACUCCUACGGGAGGCAGCAGUGGGGAAUAUUGCACAAUGGGCGCAAGCCUGAUGCAGCCAUGCCGCGUGUGUGAAGAAGGCCUUCGGGUUGUAAAGCACUUUCAGCGGGGAGGAAGGCGGUGAGGUUAAUAACCUCGUCGAUUGACGUUACCCGCAGAAGAAGCACCGGCUAACUCCGUGCCAGCAGCCGCGGUAAUACGGAGGGUGCAAGCGUUAAUCGGAAUUACUGGGCGUAAAGCGCACGCAGGCGGUCUGUCAAGUCGGAUGUGAAAUCCCCGGGCUCAACCUGGGAACUGCAUUCGAAACUGGCAGGCUAGAGUCUUGUAGAGGGGGGGUAGAAUUCCAGGUGUAGCGGUGAAAUGCGUAGAGAUCUGGAGGAAUACCGGGUGGCGAAAGGCGGCCCCCUGGACAAAGACUGACGCUCAGGUGCGAAAGCGUGGGGAGCAAACAGGAUUAGAUACCUGGUAGUCACGCUGUAAACGAUGUCGAUUUGGAGGUGUGCCUUGAGCGUGCUUCGGAGCUACGCGUAAUCGACGCUGGGGAGUACGGCGCAGUAAACUCAAUGAAUGACGGGCCGAACAGCGGUGGAGCAUGUGGGUUUUAAUUCCGCAUGCGCACCACGCCGCG
Molecule: ribosomal RNA, 925 nt
Filed under: Klebsiella variicola
Lineage: Bacteria; Pseudomonadati; Pseudomonadota; Gammaproteobacteria; Enterobacterales; Enterobacteriaceae
Description: bacterial SSU rRNA
Rfam family: Bacterial small subunit ribosomal RNA
Source: RNAcentral